ACUACCGAAGAGUUCUUUCAGCUCUGUCACAUUCUUCUGGGUCUUGGCUGUGGACUCACUGCCUUAGCAUUCUUCUUGGUCGUCCUUCCUCCUUCUCUUCUUCUGGGUCUGCUUUUAUUUUGUUUUUAUCAGCUGUUGAGGAAUAAUUGGAUGGGGGUUUGGGAUUUUGGCAUCGGGGGGAUGGGUCAAGGAGAUCGGAUGAGUUAACCAGGUGCAAAGGAGUGGAUGCUUUGAGAUGCAGAGUUUCUUUGUUCAUUGUAUUAUAAGCACCUCAAAACUGAAUAGACCACAACUGGAUGGUUAGACAACCGUGAAAGUCAAUAACAUCACAGAUAUUAAUAGCAUCAUAAAACAUCAUUUCAUGACCCACCCUUCAGGUACUGCAAUAUUGGAAGAAGAAAUAGCCCAAAACUCAGGAGGUUAAGAAGGAACUCACAGACAGGGACGUUCAGGAGGGUUUUGAUAUUACUCUUACAAAACAUAAAGGGUGAUUGACGAGUUUGAUCAAAAUGUACAUUUUGUUGAAACUGAUGUUGAGGAAAAUCCAGAAAUAGCAGAAGCAGCUGGUAUUAUGGGUACACCAUGUGUUCAAUUUUUCAAAAACAAGGAAAAGUUGAGGACCAGGUCAAAAUGAAGAGGGAGUAUCGAGAAUUUAUUGAAGUAAAGAGGAGCUUCAAAGUGGUGAAGUUGUAUAUUUUCUGUUUGGAACGUACAAAUAAUGUUUAUUGGUAGUACUUUGUUUAUUUUGAUUUAAAUGCUAGGUUGGAUGCGGCGUUAGACAAGCUGCAUGGUUUAUUUGGUUAAUAUGCAAUUUUCUUAUU
Ziziphus jujuba (common jujube) is the source of this 821-nucleotide long non-coding RNA. RefSeq lists it as uncharacterized. The transcript has 4 exons. The record is from RefSeq and is a predicted model, not a curated record. Lineage: Eukaryota; Viridiplantae; Streptophyta; Magnoliopsida; Rosales; Rhamnaceae.